Molecule: long non-coding RNA, 2565 nt
Filed under: Mus musculus (house mouse)
Lineage: Eukaryota; Metazoa; Chordata; Mammalia; Rodentia; Muridae
Description: predicted gene, 20043
Source: RNAcentral
UGACAGUGUUAAAAAUCUUUCUCUCAGAAUAAGUUUAUAUCUGAAUUAAGAAAUGCUAAAUAAGUCUGAGACCUGGCUAGACCUGGGAAUAGAGGAAAGGAGAAGGAAAGAACCACAGAGACUGGCAUCUCAGGAAGGUACCACUUUGGAGUAUCGCUAAUCAAGGAACCUUAUAAGUUGCUGAAGAAUGGAAAUUUCUAUAUAUGGACAAAGCAUAAACAACUGUUAACAUGUUGUCUAAGAACUCUUGUAUCCAAUCAAUAGACCAAAGGCAAGACUACACAGGAUUAAAGGAGGAGAUGAUAAAAAUCAGAACAAAGCUGGAACCUUUUAUCUAAAGACCAUGAGGCUGAUGCAAGACUCUCUGAGAUGGUUCACUGCAGCAGGGGUGUAUUGAAUAACCAUGGAGCUCUGACAAUGAAACAAGCAUAAAAAGAAGCCUGAUCUAUGAACAUUUUUCAUGAAAUUGGAAUCAUUUCUGGCACGAUUCUCUCCCACUCUACAGUUGUGAAAAGCACUCUUAUGAAUUGCUGGAUAUCAUCCCAAGUGGGCUAUGACAGGUUACAUGCUCACCACUGGAAAUCAUCCCCAUGACUCAGGACAAUCCUCAGCAGAGUAGAGUGUUGCUGUUCCAUGUCCAAAAAAUUUCAUCAGCCCCAGUCCAAGAACACACAGAAAGAUAAUCAAGACGCAGACAAAUUGCCCCAUCACUGAUGGAAGAAUCCAGUUACUCAGGUGACACGGCAAGCUUAUGCUGGGACCAGGUCUGAUGGAGGGGAGCCCUCCCUACUUUCUCUAGGGGAUCUGAAGCGUCCUUCAGGCUCCCUCCGUCUUGACGUUGAGACACGUCAGCCUGCCACUCUUAACUGCCCCAAACACCAUGGGCUCUCAGAGCUCCCCAGAGGCUUGCAAGCAAACCAAAAGUUCAUUCAGGCUUAUUAUAGACUCAAACUUUGACAAAGAGCAAGACAGACAAAAACAAAAACAAAAACAAAAAACAUGGUACCUGCUUGAGAUGUCCAAUUCACCACUCUCAGGUGUAUCCCCACAGGAGGUCAGAUUCCCAGCCAAUGCACCAAAUGUAAGUCUCUGAGGAGCCUUAGCUUACUGGGGAACCCUGAGUGAACAACAUGGAGCCAGGAAUCAAUGCAAAAAGCAAGAGGAAUUUAUUGUUCCAACAUGUUGGGGUCGUUUUACACCCGGCAGAGAAGUGGCAACCUCAGGCAGCCCAUUCAGAGAAGAGGGGUCUGGUGGAAGUUUUCACAGUUCCUGAGUUGACCUCUUCAGUGUCCUCCAAGCUCCAACUGUUCACGGAUACCAUUCUGCUUCUAAGCACUGCAUGCUAAUGGAUGUACCUCUGGAAGCAGUUUUUGGAAAUGAUUAGAAAGGAAAGAAUAUGUCAUUUGUUGGAGUGUCGAUGAAGCAGAAGAUACAGAGGCACAGGAGAAAAGCUGCUCAGAGUGGCUCUUUGGAUGCCACCACCAAAUGGGGUUCACAUGUUCCAAAAGCUACAUCUCAGGCAAAUGAGGAAUAAAAAGUGGAUUUGACAGUUUUCUGCAGUGUAUAAAGCACAAGGAAAAUAACUCAUACUAAUAAAACUCACACCCACACAAGAAGGGUUGUAAAAUCAACAUUCCUGCCCACUAGUUUUGUUUGGUAAAAGGGAAUGUCUGACUAGAUCCAUGUUUCCAUCAGCUGUCAACAUACUUUACCUUCUUAAGAAAAUCCUCCCGGGAAGACACAGGGUAAAAUAUCGUCCACGUAUGGGACUGGGGCGGAGGCUCAGAUGUCCUCCUGGGAAGACAAAGAGUAAAAUAUCGUCCACGUAUGGGACUGGGGUGGAGGCUCAGGUGCUCAGAUUUUGGAUUAAUUCAGUGACUAGGGUUGUUUGUUUGUUUUGCUUUGUUUUGUUGGGUUUGUUUUUUGUUUUUUUGGUUUUGGGUUUUUUUGUUUGUUUGUUUUUUUAAGGCAGGAGAGAUGACUCUGCAGUUAAGAGCACUUGAAACUUCUGCAGAGGACCUGGGUUCAGUCCCCAGAACCCACAUGUUGGCUCACAAUUAUCUGUAGCUCAAAUUGCAAGGGGGUAUAAUGCCCUCUUCUGUCUUCUGCAGACUUCAAAAUGAGAUGGUCCACAUGUAUACUCUCAGGCACACACACAUACACAUAAAAUAAGUAAAUCUAUUUUAUUUAGCAUUGUUAGUGUGGGGCCUCGCAGAAGCAGCUUCACUAACUUUGGGAAACGUUUUUAGGUUCCUGAUGCAGCAGUCCAGGCAUCUACCCUUUAACAAGCUCUCCAAGUGAGUCUUAUGCCUGCCAAAACCUGAGAGCCACUUGGCUUAAUGGGCAUGGAGCUCGGAAGAAGAGCUACACAGACCAUCCAUUCAUGGAAAAAACAGUAAUGCAGCAAUCCUCUGCAAGAACACAGACAAAAACAAAGUCCCCUUCCUGAAGCAGCUCCCUUUACUAGGAGAGAAAGUGUGGAGAGAUCUUAAAUUCAGUGAUGGUCCUUGUAUGUGCUUAUUGUUAGAAACUGGGUGAAAACACAGGGUGCACUUAAAGAAAGUG